Molecule: ribosomal RNA, 498 nt
Filed under: uncultured Streptococcus sp.
Lineage: Bacteria; Bacillati; Bacillota; Bacilli; Lactobacillales; Streptococcaceae
Description: bacterial SSU rRNA
Rfam family: Bacterial small subunit ribosomal RNA
Source: RNAcentral
GACGAACGCUGGCGGCGUGCCUAAUACAUGCAAGUAGAACGCUGAAGAGAGGAGCUUGCUCUUCUUGGAUGAGUUGCGAACGGGUGAGUAACGCGUAGGUAACCUGCCUGGUAGCGGGGGAUAACUAUUGGAAACGAUAGCUAAUACCGCAUAAUAGUAGAUGUUGCAUGACAUUUGCUUAAAAGGUGCAAUUGCAUCACUACCAGAUGGACCUGCGUUGUAUUAGCUAGUUGGUGAGGUAACGGCUCACCAAGGCAACGAUACAUAGCCGACCUGAGAGGGUGAUCGGCCACACUGGGACUGAGACACGGCCCAGACUCCUACGGGAGGCAGCAGUAGGGAAUCUUCGGCAAUGGACGGAAGUCUGACCGAGCAACGCCGCGUGAGUGGAGAAGGUUUUCGGAUCGUAAAGCUCUGUUGUAAGGGAAGAACGAGUGUGAGAGUGGAAAGUUCACACUGUGACGGUAUCUUACCAGAAAGGGACGGCUAACUACGUGC